Molecule: long non-coding RNA, 2650 nt
Organism: Nannospalax galili (Upper Galilee mountains blind mole rat)
Lineage: Eukaryota; Metazoa; Chordata; Mammalia; Rodentia; Spalacidae
Source: Ensembl
AGCCACCUAGGCCUCCAGGUCUCACUGGUGUGACUGUGGUGCCUUGUUUCCAGCGCUCCCAGAUCAGCUACAAGUGCCACCUUGUACUGCGCCCCAUUCCAGAGCUGCUGCGGGCACCCCCGGAGCGGGUUUGGGUGGCCAUGCCCAGAAGAACGCACCCAAGUGCGGGACUCUCAUCCUCCUCAGACUCUGAAGAGGAAGAAUUGGAGGAACUUCCCUCAGUGCCCCGCCCGCUGCAGCCUGAGUUCUCAGGCUCUCGGGUAUCCCUCACCGACAUCCCCACUGAAGAUGAGGCCCUGGGAACCCCAGAAGCGGGGACUGCCACCCCCAUGGACUGGCAAGAACAGGGAAGGCCUCCCUCUCGGGACCAGGAGGCCCCCAGCCCUGAAGCCCUCCCCUCUCCAGGCCAGGAGCCCCUAGAUGGGCCUAGCCCCAGGCGGGGAGAGCUCCGUCGGGGCAGCUCAGCUGAGAGCGCCCUGCCCCGGGCCCGGUCGCGGGAGCCGGGCCGGAGCCUGCACAAGGCAGCGUCUGUGGAGCUGCCGCAGCGCAGGAGCCCCAGCCCGGGGUCCACCCGCCUGACCCGGGGAGGCCUGGGUGAGGGCGAGUACGCACAGAGGCUGCAGGCCCUACGCCAGCGGUUGCUUCGGGGAGGCCCCGAGGAUGGCAAGGUCAGCGGCCUCAGGGGUCCCCUGCUGGAGAGCCUCGGGGGCCGUGCACGCGACCCCAGAAUGGCACGGGCUGCCUCCAGCGAGGCAGCGCCCCACCACCAGCCCCCUCCUGAGUCACGGGGCCUGCAAAAAAGCAGCAGCUUCUCGCAGGGUGAGGCGGAGCCCCGGGGGCGUCAUCGCCGCGCUGGGGCACCCCUCGAAAUCCCGGUAGCCAGACUUGGGGCCCGUAGGCUGCAGGAGUCUCCUUCCCUGUCUGCCCUUAGCGAGGCCCAGCCACCCAGCCCUGCGCGGCCCAGCGUCCCCAAACCCAGUGUCCCCAAGUCUGCGGAAGCUUCUGCUGCAACACCGGGUGAAUCUCCCCAGCCUUUGGCGCCCCAACCUGCCCCAGAGAAGCCCCCAGAGCCCAAGCCAGAACCAAUCCGAGCUGCCAAGUCCGCUCAGCCUUCUUUGGCCCUGCAAAAGCCAGCGUUGCCCCUCACACCCUAUGCCCAGAUCAUGCAGUCUCUGCAUCUCUUCAGCCCCGUUCAGUCCCCGCAGGGCCCCGCCGUGCCUCCAUCGGAGCCCAUGCCCCACGCUGCUGUGUUCGCUAGGGUGGCCUCCCCACCUCCUGGAGCCACCGAAAAGCGCGUGCCUUCAGCCAGGGCGACCCCAGCACUAGCGGAGAAAGUCCGGUUCCCAACGGUGCCCCCAAGGCCAGGCAGCAGCCUCAACAGUAGCAUAGAGAACCUGGAAUCAGAGGCUGUGUUCGAGGCUAAGUUCAAGCGCAGCCGCGAAUCGCCGCUGUCGCGGGGGCUGCGGCUACUGAGCCGCUCGCGCUCCGAGGAGCGCGGCCCCUUCCACGGGCCCGAGGAGGACGAUGGCAUCUACCGGCCCAGCCCGGCUGGAACGCCGCUCGAGCUGGUGCGACGGCCCGAGCGCUCGCGCUCUGUGCAGGACCUCAGGGUUGCGGGAGAGCCAGGCUUCGUCCGCCGCCUCUCGCUGUCGCUGUCCCAGAAGCUGCGACGGACCCCGCCCGCCCAGCGCCACCCGGCCUGGGAGGCCCGCAGCGGAGACGGGGAGAGCUCCGAGGGCGGUAGCUCAGCGCGGGGCUCCCCGGUCCUGGCGGUGCGCAGGAGACUCAGCUCCACUCUGGAGCGCCUGUCCAGCCGGUUGCAGCGCAGCGGCAGCAGCGAGGACUCUGGGGGAGCCUCGGGGCGCAGCACACCGCUGUUUGGACGGCUGCGCAGGGCUACUUCCGAAGGGGAGAGCCUGCGACGCCUUGGUGUUCCGCACGAUCAGCUGGCCUCUCAGAUUGGUGCCACAACACCUUCUGCUGAGUCCCUGGGCUCAGAGGCCAGUGGCACGUCGGGUUCCUCAGCUCCAGGAGAAAGACGAAGUCGGCACCGCUGGGGCCUUUCAAGGCUGCGCAAGGACAAGGGCUUCUCACAGUCAAACCUCUCUGCCAGUGUCCAAGAGGACGUAGGGCACCAGUAUGUGCCCAAUGAGUCAGGUAAGAGAAGCUUCCUGGGUAAGCACCGUGGUCCUCCGGUUACUGUCCUGGCUGGGUGAAAGUGGGCCACCUUGAGGAACUUGGGCAGCCAUGGAAGAGGCCUCGAGUUAGGAAAACAACAAUGAUAAUCACAGUAGCAGCUGCCAUUAAUUAGCAAAGCCACGUGUCCUAUUAAGCAUGUCACAAACGCUGUCUCAUUCAAUGCUACAGUAUUCUGUGGAACAGCGAUGGGCAUCCUACUAGUUUGCAGGUGGAGAAAUAGGCUUAGUGAAGUGAUGCUGUUUGUCCAAGACUCAGAGAUAGUAAGGAGCAGACAGAGUUGGGCUGUGUAACCCUUUGCAGCCAGGGCCCAGAAGUGGCUCCAGGUCACUCUGUUUAGGCCUUUGUUUGGCUCUCUGUCUCUGAAAGACCCUAGAAUAUCUGGCUGCCCUUCCUUGUCUCUCCUCAUAAGCCCAGAAGGCACAUAUUCAGGGAAAGCAGACUUCAGGCUUCU